CAGCCGCCGCGGUAACACGUAGGGUGCAAGCGUUAAUCGGAAUUACUGGGCGUAAAGCGUGCGCAGGCGGUUUGUUAAGACAGAUGUGAAAUCCCCGGGCUUAACCUGGGAACUGCAUUUGUGACUGGCAAGCUAGAGUAUGGCAGAGGGGGGUGGAAUUCCGCGUGUAGCAGUGAAAUGCGUAGAUAUGCGGAGGAACACCGAUGGCGAAGGCAGCCCCCUGGGCCAAUACUGACGCUCAUGCACGAAAGCGUGGGGAGCAAACAGGAUUAGUACCCGGGUAGUCCCUGUCUCUUAUACA
This 301-nucleotide ribosomal RNA is filed under the name uncultured bacterium. RNAcentral describes it as "partial 16S ribosomal RNA". It matches the Rfam family "Bacterial small subunit ribosomal RNA", at positions 509 to 808 of the family's 1533-position model. The record is from RNAcentral.